CAGUCGCCGCGGGAAUACAGAGGGUGCGAGCGUUAAUCGGAUUUACUGGGCGUAAAGCGUGCGUAGGCGGCUAAUUGAGUCGGAUGUGAAAUCCCCGAGCUUAACUUGGGAAUUGCAUUCGAUACUGGUUAGCUAGAGUGUGGGAGAGGAUGGUAGAAUUCCGGGUGUAGCGGUGAAAUGCGUAGAGAUCUGGAGGAAUACCGAUGGCGAAGGCAGCCAUCUGGCCUAACACUGACGCUGAGGUACGAAAGCAUGGGGAGCAAACAGGAUUAGAUACCCCUGUAGUCCCUGUCUCUUAUAC
Molecule: ribosomal RNA, 301 nt
Filed under: uncultured bacterium
Lineage: Bacteria
Description: partial 16S ribosomal RNA
Rfam family: Bacterial small subunit ribosomal RNA
Source: RNAcentral